RNAcentral lists this ribosomal RNA (440 nucleotides) under uncultured bacterium. Its description in RNAcentral is "partial 16S ribosomal RNA". It matches the Rfam family "Bacterial small subunit ribosomal RNA", at positions 338 to 795 of the family's 1533-position model. The record is from RNAcentral.
CCUACGGGAGGCAGCAGUGGGGAAUAUUGCACAAUGGGGGAAACCCUGAUGCAGCGACGCCGCGUGAGUGAAGAAGUAUUUCGGUAUGUAAAGCUCUAUCAGCAGGGAAGAAAAUGACGGUAACUGAUUAAGAAGCCCCGGCUCACUACGUGCCAGCAGCCGCGGGACUACGUAGGGGGCAGGCUUUCUCCUGAUUUACUGGUGGUAAAGGGGGCGUAGACGACAGCGAAAGCUCGAAGUGAAAUGCCGGGGAUGAAACCCGGGACUGCUUUGGAUACGGUGCAGCUAGAGUGCAGGAGAGGGAAGUUGAAUUCCUGGUGUAGCGGUGAAAUGCGUAGAUAUUAGGAGGAACACCAGUGGCGAAGGCGGCUUACUGGACUGUAACUGACGUUGAGGCUCGAAAGCGUGGGGAGCAAACAGGAUUAGAUACCCUUGUAGUC